Merluccius polli (Benguela hake) is the source of this 76-nucleotide non-coding RNA. NCBI's taxonomy places the organism in Eukaryota, Metazoa, Chordata, Actinopteri, Gadiformes, Merlucciidae. The record is from the annotation of a GenBank genome assembly.
GGUCCUGACCUGCUCAACCGGUAGAGCAUGGCCCGAUCGUUGCCAGGGGUUAGGGGUUCGAUUCCCACUGGGACCA